This 305-nucleotide ribosomal RNA is filed under the name uncultured bacterium. RNAcentral describes it as "bacterial SSU rRNA". It matches the Rfam family "Bacterial small subunit ribosomal RNA", at positions 335 to 637 of the family's 1533-position model. The record is from RNAcentral.
UUUCCUACGGGAGGCAGCAGUGGGGAAUAUUGGGCAAUGGGCGCAAGCCUGACCCAGCAACGCCGCGUGAGGGAAGACGGUCCUAUGGAUUGCAAACCUCUUUAGGCGGGGAGCAAUGCCGGGCACGCGUGCCCGGAGGGAGAGUACCCGCAGAAUAAGCAUCGGCUAACUCCGUGCCAGCAGCCGCGGUAAUACGGAGGAUGCGAGCGUUAUCCGGAUUUAUUGGGUUUAAAGGGUGCGUAGGCGGUCUGUUAAGUCAGCGGUAAAAUUGCGGGGCUCAACCCCGUCGAGCCGUUGAAACUGGC